This 177-nucleotide signal recognition particle RNA is filed under the name Staphylococcus equorum. RNAcentral's name for it is "partial signal recognition particle sRNA large type". It matches the Rfam family "Bacterial large signal recognition particle RNA", at positions 1 to 170 of the family's 256-position model. Rfam says of the family: The signal recognition particle (SRP) is a universally conserved ribonucleoprotein involved in the co-translational targeting of proteins to membranes. Archaeal SRP consists of a 7S RNA and homologues of the eukaryotic SRP19 and SRP54 proteins. The record is from RNAcentral. Lineage: Bacteria; Bacillati; Bacillota; Bacilli; Caryophanales; Staphylococcaceae.
CCGUGCUAAGUGGGGAGGUAGCGGUUCCCUGUACUCGAAAUCCGCUUUACGCGAGACUGAAUUCCUUUGCUAAGGGUGUGUUUUUGUGAAGUCUGCCCAAAGCACGUAGUGUUUGAAGAUCUCGGUCCUAUGCAAUAUGAACCCACGAACCAUGUCAGGUCCUGACGGAAGCAGCAU